GUGCUUGCUUUGUAGCAUAUAUACUAAAAUUGGAACGCUACAGAGAAGAUUAGCAUGGCCCCCACUCAAGGAUGACUCACAAAUUUGUUAAGCGUUCCAUAUUUUU
RNAcentral lists this small nuclear RNA (106 nucleotides) under Dasypus novemcinctus (nine-banded armadillo). Lineage: Eukaryota; Metazoa; Chordata; Mammalia; Cingulata; Dasypodidae. The record is from RNAcentral.